RNAcentral lists this ribosomal RNA (224 nucleotides) under uncultured bacterium. RNAcentral's name for it is "partial 16S ribosomal RNA". It matches the Rfam family "Bacterial small subunit ribosomal RNA", at positions 571 to 793 of the family's 1533-position model. The record is from RNAcentral.
GCAGGUGGUUUGUUAAGUCAGAUGUGAAAGCCCGGGGCUCAACCUCGGAAUAGCAUUUGAAACUGGCAGACUAGAGUACUGUAGAGGGGGGUAGGAAUUUCAGGUGUAGCGGUGAAAUGCGUAGAGAUCUGAAGGAAUACCGGUGGCGAAGGCGGCCCCCUGGACAGAUACUGACACUCAGAUGCGAAAGCGUGGGGAGCAAACAGGAUUAGAUACCCUGGUAG